AGGUGCUACAGACAGAACAUUUGGAAAACAGCACAGAAUACAGUCUUUACAUUUUCUAAAGCAAAGUGACCCGACGACAAAGAGGCGUGUUGAAGGUGGUGCAGCGGAAUGGCUUCGCUAGCUAGUGAAAAGGGGCGUGAAGCUGAAUGAGGCUUCCAAAUGUGGCAUAACACAAAGCAAAGAAGCCCAGGAGGAAGUGGACAAAGCCUCCCCUCCUCAACAACCCGACCCCCAUCACACCUCGUCCUUUUCUGAACCCUCCUCCCCCUCUUAACAACCCACCCCCCAUCAAUCCGCAUCCUCCUCCUUCUCCACCUCUCAAACCCCCUCCCCCCCUCAACAACCCGCUCCCCAUCAAUCCGCAUCCUUCUCUUCCUCCUCCUCCUCCCAAUCUAACCCCUCCUCUCAACCCCCCUCAAUCUGACCACCCCUCUCAAACCCCGUCACCCAUCCAACCUCCAACCCCUUUCAAGACCCUUCACCCAUACAACCUCCUUCCCCCAUACAACCUCCCAUCCCCUUUCAAUCCCCUUCCCCCAUCCAACCUCCCACCCCCUUUCAACCCCCUUCCCCCAGCCCAAGCCAACCAGGAGAGUGGGCAGCUGAGGAGGAGGUGGAUUGUGCUGUACAUCCUUCGG
This is a long non-coding RNA of Pseudophryne corroboree (corroboree frog), 638 nucleotides long. RefSeq lists it as uncharacterized. The record is from RefSeq and is a predicted model, not a curated record. NCBI's taxonomy places the organism in Eukaryota, Metazoa, Chordata, Amphibia, Anura, Myobatrachidae. The transcript has 4 exons.